This 253-nucleotide ribosomal RNA is filed under the name uncultured bacterium. Its description in RNAcentral is "partial 16S ribosomal RNA". It matches the Rfam family "Bacterial small subunit ribosomal RNA", at positions 524 to 776 of the family's 1533-position model. The record is from RNAcentral.
UACGAAGGGGGCUAGCGUUGCUCGGAAUCACUGGGCGUAAAGGGUGCGUAGGCGGGUCUUUAAGUCAGGGGUGAAAUCCUGGAGCUCAACUCCAGAACUGCCUUUGAUACUGAGGAUCUUGAGUCCGGGAGAGGUGAGUGGAACUGCGAGUGUAGAGGUGAAAUUCGUAGAGAUUGGGUGGAACACCAGUGGCGAAGGCGCCUGUCUGGCUGACAACUGACGCUGAGACUCGAAAGCAUGGGGAGCAAACAGG